This 430-nucleotide ribosomal RNA is filed under the name uncultured Legionella sp. RNAcentral's name for it is "bacterial SSU rRNA". It matches the Rfam family "Bacterial small subunit ribosomal RNA", at positions 439 to 869 of the family's 1533-position model. Lineage: Bacteria; Pseudomonadati; Pseudomonadota; Gammaproteobacteria; Legionellales; Legionellaceae. The record is from RNAcentral.
UGAGGGUUGAUAGGUUAAGAGCUGAUUGACUGGACGUUCCCACAGAAGAAGCACCGGCUAACUCCGUGCCAGCAGCCGCGGUAAUACGGAGGGUGCGAGCGUUAAUCGGAAUUCUGGGCGUAAAGGGUGCGUAGGUGGUUUAGUAAGUUAUCUGUGAAAUUCUGGGCUCAACCUAGGGUGGUCAGAUAAGACUGCUGGACUUUGAGUAUAGGAGAGGGUAGUGGAAUUUCCGGUGUAGCGGUGAAAUGCGUAGAGAUCGGAAGGAACACCAGUGGCGAAGGCGGCUACCUGGCCUAAUACUGACACUGAGGCACGAAAGCGUGGGGAGCAAACAGGAUUAGAUACCCUGGUAGUCCACGCUGUAAACGAUGUCAACUAGCUGUUGGCCUUAUGAAUGAGGUUAGUGGCGCAGCAAACGCGAUAAGUUGAC